RNAcentral lists this ribosomal RNA (400 nucleotides) under uncultured bacterium. Its description in RNAcentral is "bacterial SSU rRNA". It matches the Rfam family "Bacterial small subunit ribosomal RNA", at positions 355 to 747 of the family's 1533-position model. The record is from RNAcentral.
UGGGGAAUCUUGGACAAUGGGGGGAACCCUGAUCCAGCAAUCCCGCGUGUGUGAUGAAGGCCUUCGGGUUGUAAAGCACUUUUUGCAGGGAAGAAAUAGCUCGGGUGAAUAAUCCGAGUGACUGACGGUACCUGCGGAAUAAGCACCGGCUAACUACGUGCCAGCAGCCGCGGUAAUACGUAGGGUGCGAGCGUUAAUCGGAAUUACUGGGCGUAAAGGGUACGCAGGCGGCCAGGCAAGAAGGGUGUGAAAUCCCUGGGCUUAACCUAGGAAUUGCACUUUUAACUGCUUGGCUAGAGUACGUCAGAGGGGGGUGGAAUUCCACGUGUAGCAGUGAAAUGCGUAGAUAUGUGGAGGAACACCGAUGGCGAAGGCAGCCCCCUGGGAUGAUACUGACGCU